This 274-nucleotide ribosomal RNA is filed under the name uncultured bacterium. RNAcentral describes it as "partial 16S ribosomal RNA". It matches the Rfam family "Bacterial small subunit ribosomal RNA", at positions 523 to 796 of the family's 1533-position model. The record is from RNAcentral.
AUACGGGGGGUGCAAGCGUUAAUCGGAAUUACUGGGCGUAAAGCGCGCGUAGGCGGUUAAAUAAGUUGGAUGUGAAAUCCCCGGGCUCAACCUGGGAACUGCAUUCAAAACUGUUUAACUAGAGUAUGGUAGAGGGAAGUGGAAUUCCAGGUGUAGCGGUGAAAUGCGUAGAUAUCUGGAGGAACAUCAGUGGCGAAGGCGACUUCCUGGAUCAAUACUGACGCUGAGGUGCGAAAGCGUGGGGAGCAAACAGGAUUAGAAACCCCAGUAGACC